RNAcentral lists this ribosomal RNA (495 nucleotides) under uncultured bacterium. Its description in RNAcentral is "partial 16S ribosomal RNA". It matches the Rfam family "Bacterial small subunit ribosomal RNA", at positions 28 to 507 of the family's 1533-position model. The record is from RNAcentral.
GAUGAACGCUGGCGGCGUGCCUAAUACAUGCAAGUAGAACGCUGAAGGCGGCUUUUGCUCUUCUGGAUGAGUUGCGCACGGGUGAAUAACGCGUAGAUAACCUGCCUGGUCGGGGGGGAAAACUAUUGUAAACGAUAGCUACUACCGCAUGACAACAGUUAUUGCAUGAUAACUGUUUAAAAGGGGCAAAUGCUCCACUACCGGAUGGGGCUGCGUUGUAUGAGCUAGUUGGUGAGGGAACGGCUCACCAAGGCGACGAUACAUAGCCGACCGGAGCGGGGGAUCGGCCACACUGGGACUGGGGCACGGCCCAGACUCCUGCGGGAGGCAGCAGUAGGGAAUCUUCGGCAAUGGACGGAAGUCUGACCGAGCAACGCCGCGUGAGUGAAGAAGGAUUUCGGAUCGUAAAGCUCUGUUGUAAGAGGAGAACGAGUGUGAGAGUGGAAAGUUCACGCUGUGACGGUAGCUUACCAGAAAGCGACGGCUAACUACGUG